AGAGUUUGAUCAUGGCUCAGGAUAAACGCUGGCGGCGUGCCUAACACAUGCAAGUCGAACGCGCACGGAGAGAUUCGUGCGAGUGGCGAACGGGUGAGUAACACGUGGGUACCUGCCCUAUGGUGAGGAAUACCGGCGAGAAAUCGCCGACAAUACCGCAUAGGUUUCGAAAGAAACAAAGCUCACGCAAGUGGGCGCCA
Molecule: ribosomal RNA, 200 nt
Filed under: uncultured bacterium
Lineage: Bacteria
Description: partial 16S ribosomal RNA
Rfam family: Bacterial small subunit ribosomal RNA
Source: RNAcentral